UCCCGGAUUUUAAGGAUGCAUCGGCUGUAUCCUUCGCGGCCCAACGUAUCCCAAGAUCCUUCACGGCCCAACGUAUCCCUCCCAAGAUUCAUUGCGCAUUCAAUCCAAAAAAUAAAACAAAUAAUGGCGGAGAAUGUGGAUUUGACUUUUUCAUUUAAAUGGAGCAAGGAGCAUACUGCUCAAUUGAUCAAACUCAGGGGGGAGAACGACGAGCUCUUCACCGGGGUGAAACAUUCGGCGAGUGUGGCUUGGGGGUAAGGAAACAAUCGUUUAUUUAUAUCGUAAGUUAGUUUAUAAAAAUUAUUAUAGGCCAUUUGUAUAUCUACAUUUGACCAUCUUGUAAAGGUUAGUUAAAUUAGCCCUCAUUGAAAAGCAGGACAGAUACAACAUCCACAGAAAUCGUUUACUACGAUGUCCUAUUUUGGGUUAUUAAAGAAAGACAAAAAAAA
This is a long non-coding RNA of Gadus morhua (Atlantic cod), 449 nucleotides long. RefSeq lists it as uncharacterized. The record is from RefSeq and is a predicted model, not a curated record. The transcript has 2 exons. Lineage: Eukaryota; Metazoa; Chordata; Actinopteri; Gadiformes; Gadidae.